RNAcentral lists this ribosomal RNA (506 nucleotides) under Euphrosine sp. DZMB HH 43099-A. Its description in RNAcentral is "partial large subunit ribosomal RNA". It matches the Rfam family "Bacterial large subunit ribosomal RNA", at positions 1816 to 2607 of the family's 2925-position model. Lineage: Eukaryota; Metazoa; Annelida; Polychaeta; Eunicida; Euphrosinidae. The record is from RNAcentral.
UGCUUCUUGAAACCACCCAUAAAAAGUAAUCUCUGCCCAGUGAAUAUUUAAACGGCCGCGGUACCCUGACCGUGCAAAGGUAGCAUAAUAGCUUGCCUUUUAAUUAAAGGCUUGUAUGAACGAGCUAACGUGAGUUUAACUGUCUCUAAUAAUACCUUAAAAAUAAACCUCCACGUGAAAAGGCGUGGAUAUAAUUAAAAGACAAGAAGACCCUGUCGAACUUAAUUGUAACUAAGUAAAAAGAAAAAUAAUUUAUUCUUCUUACCCAAACAACAAUUUAGUUGGGGCAACAAAGGAACAAAAAAACCUUCCUUUAUCCCAUAUAUCACAACCAGCCCAAAUAAAUUGAAUAAAGAACAAAGUUACCGCAGGGAUAACAGGUCAAUAUUUCUCAAGAGUACACAUCAACAGAAAAGCUUUACACCUCGAUGUUGGCUUAGGCUAUCCAGUUAGUGCAGAAGCUAACAACGGCAGGUUUGUUCAACCUAAAAAGCCUACGUGAUCUG